Molecule: microRNA precursor, 108 nt
Filed under: Sorex araneus (European shrew)
Lineage: Eukaryota; Metazoa; Chordata; Mammalia; Eulipotyphla; Soricidae
Description: miRNA (ENSSARG00000019960.1)
Rfam family: Eukaryotic large subunit ribosomal RNA
Source: RNAcentral
CCUCUGAAGUUUCCCUCAGGAUAGCUGACACUUUCAAUUACGCAUAAAAGCCAUGCAGUUCUAUCUGGUAAAGCAAAAGAUUAGAGGUCUUGGGGCCAAAACGAUCUC